This 395-nucleotide unclassified non-coding RNA is filed under the name uncultured Mortierella. RNAcentral describes it as "partial contains 5.8S ribosomal RNA, internal transcribed spacer 2, and large subunit ribosomal RNA". The stretch from base 1 to 102 matches the Rfam family "5.8S ribosomal RNA", at positions 53 to 154 of the family's 154-position model. Lineage: Eukaryota; Fungi; Mortierellomycota; Mortierellomycetes; Mortierellales; Mortierellaceae. The record is from RNAcentral.
AUGCGAUACGUAAUGUGAAUUGCAGAAUUCAGUGAAUCAUCGAAUCUUUGAACGCAUAUUGCGCUCUCUGGUAUUCCGGAGAGCAUGCUUGUUUGAGUAUCAGUAAACACCUCAACUCCCUUUUCUUUUUUGAAAUGGGAGCUGGACUUGAGUGAUCCCAACACUUUUCUCACUGGAAAGUGGCGGGUCACUUGAAAUGCAGGUGCAGCUGGACUUUUCUCUGAGCUAUAAGCAUAUCUAUUUAGUCUGCCUAAAAAACAGAUUAUUACCUUUGCUGCAGCUAACAUAAAGGAGAUGAGUUCUUGUGCUGACUGAUGCAGGAUUCACAGAGACAGCUUUGCGGCUGACUUUGUAAACUCGAUCUCAAAUCAAGUAAGACUACCCGCUGAACUUAA